UACCGGUUCGUUAUCGGUACAUGAAGGUAAAAACAGCACCAGCCUGGUACAUAAAACGCCAAAAGUCGGUCCGGAGUGUAACCAGCACCAGCCUAGUACAUAAAACGCCAAAAGUCGGUCCGGAGUGUUAACCGGUACUUGUAUCGAAAAUACCAGUUCGUUAUCGGUACAUGAAGGUAAAAACGAGCACCAGCCUGGUACAUAAAACGCCAAAAGUCGGUACCGGAUUGAGUUUGAUAAUCUUUUAGUUCGAGAAAUUUGGUACUGCUACCCGGUACCAUUUGCUCAUCCCUGAUCACGGGUACCAUACGAACACCAACGGUAUCGUA
RNAcentral lists this long non-coding RNA (329 nucleotides) under Helianthus annuus (common sunflower). RNAcentral's name for it is "sRNA HanXRQr2_Chr16g0746361". Lineage: Eukaryota; Viridiplantae; Streptophyta; Magnoliopsida; Asterales; Asteraceae. The record is from RNAcentral.